GCAGCAGCCGCGGUAAAACGUAGGGGGCAAGCGUUGUCCGGAAUCAUUGGGCGUAAAGAGCGUGUAGGCGGCUCGGUAAGUCCGCUGUGAAAGUCCAGGGCUCAACCCUGGAAUGCCGGUGGAAACUGUCGAGCUAGAGUCCGGAAGAGGCGAGUGGAAUUCCUGGUGUAGCGGUGAAAUGCGCAGAUAUCAGGAGGAACACCAAUGGCGAAGGCAGCUCGCUGGGACGGUACUGACGCUGAGACGCGAAAGCGUGGGGAGCAAACAGGAUUAGAUACCCCGGUAGUCCCUGUCUCUUAUAC
RNAcentral lists this ribosomal RNA (302 nucleotides) under uncultured bacterium. Its description in RNAcentral is "partial 16S ribosomal RNA". It matches the Rfam family "Bacterial small subunit ribosomal RNA", at positions 508 to 807 of the family's 1533-position model. The record is from RNAcentral.